GAGCUCGGCUCGUUUAUAAACGAACCGAGCUUGAACAUACAAAGCUCAGCUCGUUCGGCUCGCUUAACACCCCUAGUGACAUGGUGAAGGUCCUGAGCAAGGCAGUAGAGCUCAGGGUUUUUCCAUAUAAAAUCAUAUGUGGUAUACAUCAAGGUUUUCCAGCGCCAGAUAUAUCACGUGGUUUUGUCCUGAUUCUUGAACUAGGAUUUCCUGUUCUUCAAAUGGUGUUCUGCAUGUUAUAGAAAGGGAUCACAAAUGCCGGAAGUUAUGUUGGGGUUAAUCGGUUUUGGUUUGCUAUGGGGGUGCAACAGAAAAAGGAGCAAACAAAGUUUUUGAGAGACUGAAACUAGGAGUGAAACUAGGGAGCACAAGAAACUCCAGCCAUAAGGAGCUCUACCGCCCUGGUAUCUGCAUUUGAACUUUGAACUGAGAUGUAAGUAAAAUAUAAUGGUUGUUAUGGAGUGACUAGGGGUCUCGAUUUCAAGAAUAAGGACGAGUUCUAUUACUUUUAGGCCUUGAGAUUCCUGCAUAAGCACAUUAGAAGGCCAAGCUACUUGGCUUGAAAACAGGAGGAGUUCUUCAGAUAACUGAGGAUGUUGGCAUGUCAGGUAUCUGAAGCUUACUGUGCAGAAUAUUAUAUAUAUACAUACCUUCAGUGCGAGCGGGAUUAGGUUUCAUUUUUCCUUUGUUGAUAAUCUGAAUAAAGAAGAAGACGAUAUACUAGAUUACCUAUAAGUGUAUUUUAAUAGGGUUUAGCAUUAUCUAUUUGGUAGAGAUAUUAUCUUAGAAGCCACAUGUAAAUGCCGAUUUGCACUGCAUAUCCAUCUCAAUCCCUUUUGAUUCGUAGUAUUGCAAUUCCAGUUGUUAUUCUUGUAUACCGAAAUAUCUAUUGUAAAUAUAGAUUGCUGAUGCACUAGUAUUGUUUCUGUUUUAACGUACAGUAAAAGUUGAACUCUGUCAUGUCUACUUCUAGUUAAGUUUUGGCAUAGGUCUAUUUUUAGUUCCGUUUUAGCUACCAAAAUGCAGUCUUCAGUUUUGACAUAUGUCCUUGAUAAAUUUAAUUCUGAAGGUUGUUGUUUAGGGUUGAGGUUCUACAAUGCAUCAAUGCAAGAGUUCUACAUGAAGCAACAAUGUGUGGACUAUCCUGAGUUAUGCAGUAAAAGCAAGCUUGUUUGGUCUGUUGAUGUUCACAGGUAUGAUAUUCUUUUAACCACAACACUCCUCCCCCUCCCCCUACCCUUUUCUUUCUUCUCUCUUCCCAAAAAGAAGGAAGAAGAACAAUAAAUGAAGAGUUCAUCUUAGGCUUCAACUACUAUAUGUCAACCCCUGACCUCAGCCUCCAAAUAUAUAACACCGAAGUCUCUAAAAAGCUUGACAUUAUGUUAUUUUUCAGGUCAUGUUCACAGAUAAGGAAGAUCUUCCUCAUUUAGCAGCCAUGGUGGCAGUGUAAGUUGUUCUUCCUUUGUAAUAUUUUAAUCUCGUCACUCCUAGACCAUAGAUUGGUGUAGAUGUCGACUUAGCGAAAGCUUAGUUACACACCUUUUAUUUUUCGUAGUGUCUGACCAUGUGGUAAUUACACUUUGUAUUGGGGAAGAAAGAGAUGGGGAGUGGGGGCAGUAACCACUAACAUGGAGAAGAGAAAUGCGACGAUUCUUAACAUACAUGUCUUUACCAAGGGAUCAUCUUAAUAAGUACUUCAUGUUCUUACCUUUUUUUC
Molecule: long non-coding RNA, 1717 nt
Filed under: Aquilegia coerulea
Lineage: Eukaryota; Viridiplantae; Streptophyta; Magnoliopsida; Ranunculales; Ranunculaceae
Description: long non-coding RNA (ACOE_LNC001096)
Source: RNAcentral